This 406-nucleotide unclassified non-coding RNA is filed under the name soil metagenome. RNAcentral describes it as "partial contains 5.8S ribosomal RNA, internal transcribed spacer 2, and large subunit ribosomal RNA". The stretch from base 1 to 121 matches the Rfam family "5.8S ribosomal RNA", at positions 35 to 154 of the family's 154-position model. The record is from RNAcentral.
GAUGAAGAACGCAGCGAAAUGCGAUAAGUAAUGUGAAUUGCAGAAUUCAGUGAAUCAUCGAAUCUUUGAACGCACCUUGCGCCCUUUGGCCAUUCCGAAGGGCAUGCCUGUUUGAGUAUCAUGAACACCUCAACUCUUCAUGGUUUUCCGUGAUGAGCUUGGACUUUGGGGGUCUUGCUGGCCUAUGGUCAGCUCCUCUAAAAUAAAUCAGCUUGCCAGUGUUUGGUGGGUAUCACAGGUGUGAUAACUAUCUACGCUUGUGGUUUUCCACCAGGUAACCUUCAGCAGUGGAGGUUCGCUGGAGCUCACAGAUGUGUCUCUCCUCAGUGAGGACAGCUCUUUGAAUGUUUGAUCUCAAAUCAGGUAGGACUACCCGCUGAUCUUAAGCAUAUCAAUAAGCGGAGGA